UCGUAUGUAACAAGGGAACCGCCCUAAGGAAAUAAAAAGACAGGGUUCGGUAGAGUGAACUUAGAGGGGGUUGGAGAUUGUAACUAAGUACACUCUCGUCCGUUCUCCUUGCAAGCCUGAAAACUGAACUGCCUCUGUGUCUUACAAAUGUUCUAGGUGUCUUUGAACAUGACAUUUACUUGGUCCUUCGAGCCGGAUGCCAACAUACCCGACGAAUCCAGUGGGCGGGUGGAUUGCAGUAUAAAGACCAUGGCCAUGGCAGGCUCCAUUUAAAGUGAGUCCAAAAGACCCUUUCCGGGACUGACAUCGGCCCGCCAGCUGGAAUCCAAAGGUUGACGGUACUCUGAGAAGACAGACGGGGAUGGUGACCCUGCGUCGUGAUUUGUCCGAUAGGAGAGGUUAAUUUUAGUCAUCAACUACUUCAUCAUCUACUACUGGACUCCAAAACAGAGCACUCACAAACUAAGGUAAGCAGAGACCUUUUUAACAAAAUUCUGCACAUUGACAGUUACCAAAUUAUUUGUGAGUCCGAGACAAGUAAUUUGUUCUAAUCAUAAGUUUUGUGUGACUCGCGAGAUAGAGAAAUCCUACAACAAAGGUUGUGCAAGGUUAGCCUCCAAUCACGACAGAUUGGAGAAGGUUAUCCUCCAGUGACUACUGGGGAAGGAUAUCCUCUGAUGACGGUCAGGGAAGAUUUACCAAUAUUAAAAGGUAAAUAUUAGAAGUGAAGGAUCCUUCUGGUUAGAGACCAGGGAAGGUCUUGCAGGACAAGACAAAUUUAUUUAUGUGUAGAAAACUUUUUCAGGCAUUUUUAGUACACACCGAAAGAACUGUUAGGAGAAUUCCGAAGUGAAUUAAAAAGAUGUAUUAAGUGUGGGGAAACCCCAAGGAGAAAGGCGCCACUUGUGGUAGAAGCUUCCUUUCUCACACUUGAAAUAUCUGUCACUGAGACAUUCACUUUUCUAUGAAUUCUCCCCAUAUUUAUAUGAUGGAAGGAAAUUUUUCGGCACGGUGGGCGACUGGUUAGAGCGUCUGCCUCACAGUUCUGAGGACCAGGGUUCAAUCCCUGGCCCCACUUGUGUGGAGUUUGCAUGUUCUCCCCGUGCCUGAGUGGGUUUUCUCCGGGCACUCCGGUUUCCUCCCACAUCCCAAAAAUAUGCUUGGUAGGUUAAUUGACAACUCUAAAUUGCCCCGAGCUGUGAAUGUGAGUGUGAAUGGGUGUUUGUUUGUAUGUGCCUUGUUCAGGGUGUACCCCGCCUCCUGCCCGAUGAUAGCUGGGAUAGGCUCCAGCAGGCCUGUGACCCUAGUGAGGAGAAGCGGCUCAAAAAAUGGAUGGAAGGACAUUUUGACAAAUAUUGUCAAUUGGUAGAAAAACCCGAAUUGGUAUUAGGAGAUUCAGGUCACGAAGGGGGAAAAUGUGGCAAUUCACAAAGUUACUGUUACACUAUACGGGACUAAGGUAUGUAGGGGAGGAGAAACAGAAAAAGGCAAGAGAGAAAAUAAGUCAGUGAUUAGAUAAAAAAGAGGAAGAAGGAAAAAUCAGAAAGACAGCCUUUGCUUCCUGAGUUACACCGUCUAAAAGACAGACAAAUUGUAGAAAUAAAACUUCUAAAAAAAAGUCCGGCUUUAAGAAAUCCGCAGUGAACUCUAAAAUCCCUGGAAAAGAACAAGCUCUGUGUACAGUGAUGUACACAGAGCUGAAUGUACUUGCAUUGGUGAGGAUGAUUGAACCAAAAGAUGAUGCCAUGAUUAUGGCAUGACAAAGGGAAAAAAAGAGAAAGAAAAGAGAAAGAAAGGAGGAUGAAAUUGAAAAUAUAAUUAUAAAAACCAGGCACUAAUAAUAAAAACCAGGCACUAUCUGUCAUGGCACCUCAGCUACUGUCACAGGACCCGACAUGGGCCACUUUGCUACUACAGCAGCAGACUAGAGGGGGGUCGGAGGUGGUUUCAGGGGUCACUCCCGCGGCGCGAACUCCAUAAGAUGCUUCGCAUGUGGAAAAACUGGACACGUUGCACGUGUCUGUCGAGGCCCUGCUGAAAAGCACAGAGUAACUACAGUUGUUACGCCUAUGGACAAGAGGGACACACUGCCAACUGUUGUCCCAACCUGCUGCCCAGAGGACGUGGUGAAACAACAGGACGAGGCAGGGGAAAUGUCCCAAAGAGACAUUUUACAUAAAUGUAAUGCUCCCACUGUCUGUGCAGUACACGGACUUGACAUUGUGUUUCCAGAUGGAACCAUGCUGGAGACCAAAGGGGACCUGCGUACACAUGUGCUGGCAUGUGUCCAACAAAACACUGUGACUCCUGUUACUGACAUCUAUCGGGGAAUGCUUGACACGUGUCAAAUAAAUAACAGCGUGCUGCAGGCAUUUGCGGAGUGGAAGCCAUGGGUUGUGUCCUUGGGACCAUUCCUGCCAACCCCUCCACAUUGUACCUUGUUCUAUGAUAGAGAACACGAUUAGAUUUAUCAACAAGAAUUUUUGAAAAACUAUCAGACACUCAUGGUAUUUUACCAACUGAUAGAAUAUUGGUGGGAGGAGAGGGUGUUGCGGCAGUGGUUGACCUGACAUCGGAUUUAUUGCCUUGGUUCAAAAUGCCAUUUUCUGCGCCUCAAAUUUCAUUGGCACUUAAACGGGAAGGAUUAAGAAAUCUGCCGGCUAAACUCAAUUGGACACAUGAUGAGAAAGAACUCUUCUUACAAAUUAAACAAGAAUUAAGUCAAGACAUUACUUUGGCACUUCCUAACUAUAAACAACCAUUUUAUUUGGACAUAUAAAAAAAAAACUCAUACCGCCGCUGCAGUAUUGUACCAACUAGUACGGGGCGAAAGAAAGGUACUACUACACACGAGUGUUUUGUUAGAACCAAUAGUAGCACGUGCAUCUGACUGCGAGAGGUAUGCAGCAGCAGCUGCGGCUCUUAUAGAAAAAUUUGCACAUGUGGUGCUUAUGCAGCCGCACUGCGUACACACCACACACACUACAACCGCUUUUCAUCAACUCACGACUAUUUACCUUUUCAAACAACAACUGCAUAUUCAAUUUACACCUGUCAAUACUAACAUGGCUGACGGUGUAACUGAAGGAAUGCAUUGGUGUGAGGAGAAGGCUAGAAAAGACAAAGCAUGUCGUUCAGAUUUAUUGUCAGAACCGUUGAAGCGAGGGAGAAAGUUGUUUACGGAUGGUUGUUGUUAUAGGAAAAACAAUGGGGAACUAGUGGUUGGAUGGGUUGUAAUUGAACUAGUAGUGAACGAAAGGAGUCGAACGUAUGAAUGCAACUUUAAAACAAAAAUUGGCUAAAUGCUGUGCACAGUCGAAUAUGUCGUGGUUGAGAGCUCUCCCAAUUGUGCUCAUGUCCAUCAGAGCAUCGGUAAAUAGUACACACAAACUCAGCCCUUUUAAAAUAUACCAUGUUUUUCUUUUUCUUUUUCUUCUUCAUCUUCUUCUUCUUCAGCUCAUCUUUUGAGUCACUUUCUUCCUUGUCGCAACUGUCUUACUUUGAUCAAUUAAGAGGUGUUCUGUCCAGCUUUGCAGGCAUCCAAUCGGACGGCGAUAAACCACCUGCAUCUGUUUGGCUUCGAGUGAUAAAGAGGAAGUGGUCUGAACCAAGGUGGACGGGAAAUUUUAGCUUUAGCCACAGGAUACACACAAUAAAACCUGUGGAUAGCCUACUUACAAGAAACGGCCCGACUUGGCAAUUUUGGGGAUUGUAUAAUGUGUGCAGCCGCACGACCCACUGUAUGUUCAGCUCCAGGACCAAUUAUGGAUAUUGAUUCACUAAUGCAUGAUUGAAAUAUAAAGAAUAAACCAUAAGGUUAGCUCUCGAUGCGCCAAGUAUGAGAAUAUGUGGCCAAAAUUACCUAAAAGUACAGUACCACUCAUGACCCAUUAUGCAGAAGGAAAUUACACUUGUUUAAAGCAUGACAGAAUUAACCAGAACAAAACUAAAUAUGUGGGGGUAUUUCCAUUUUGUCAUAAUAUAAUAGAUGUCACUACAUGGGGAAAUAUUACAAUAUUGAGCAAAAGGUCUUUAGGUGAUUUGGCAUAUAUGUGUGAAAUUAAUGUAGUAUGAGCUGUAUUACCUGACAAAUGGAAAGGGACAUGUACAAUGAUUUCAUAUGUGGCGUCAACUACUGUAAUUUUCGCCAAGGAUCAAAUAACAAGACCAAAAACAGAAAUUAAUGUGAGGUCAAAGAGAUCAAUCAGCGAUAAUUGGUCAGAGGACAGAACCACAUACAUAGAUGGCAUUGGAGUGCCCAGAGGAGUUCCAAAUGAAUACAAACUGAUUGAUCAAAUUGCAGCAGGAUUUGAAAAUAUGCCCAUCAUCUCUGUAUUGUUCCCAGUAACUCCAAACAAGAAUGUGGAUAGGAUCAACUUUGUUUAUUACCAUUUGCAAAGAGCAGUAAACUUAACCAGUGAUGCCAUUGAAGGCUUAGCUGAACAAUUGGCCCCCACUUCCCUUCUGGCAAUUCAAAACCGCAUGGCCCUUGACAUAAUCCUUGCCGAAAAGAAUGGUGUUUGUGCAAUGUUUGUUCCACAAUGUUGUAAUUUUAUUCCCAACAACACAGCCCCGGAUGGAAAAGUAACGAGAGCCCUCCAUGGGUUACAAACUUUGGCUGCUGAAAUGGCAGAUUCAACAGGCGUUUCCAACCCCCUGGAAGAUUGGCCUAUGGCGUUGUUUGGAAAAUGGAAACACCUUGUAAUUACAUUUAUAAUUGCUAUUGUUACUGCUGUUAAUUUGUUAUUGCUUUUUGAAUGCUGUAUUAUUCCAUGUACGAGGAUGGAUGUUGAUGACCUCCGAAGGAGCUCCUACUCCUGAAGUUCUGCUCACACAAGACGACGUCGUGUCCAGAUGGAUGAAUUAUUGAUUAAGAAUAUACAGUGUCUUUUCUCUUAGCAUGUUACGGGACUUUUCUUUUUCCCUCCUCAAAUCAAUAUAUGGGGAGGUUUUUGGCCUGUCUCAAGAGUAGUACUGCCUUAUGAAGAAUGCUUAGCUCAUUACUACGUUGUUUAUAUAUCCUCUUAUAGCCUUCCACAUAGAGUAGUACUGCUUAGGGUAUGUUACAUAGUUCCACUAUGUAAACAAGGGAAUUGUUGGAUUGUUCUAUUUGUACUCAUGAAGCGAUGUUUCUUUCUUUAACAAUUAAGUUCCAUUUCCAAAACAUCCAAGGCCAGAGGGGUGCCCACAUCUUAGGAUGACUCCCUUUUCCUCUUUAUAGCACCCAAGGUAGAUUACUGAAGAAUGAUGUUCUUAGGAUGACUCUCUUUUCUGAUAACACCCAAGGCCAGAGGUACCUUCUGCUAAACAUAUAUCAAAACCUUCUAACAAAACAGAACCAGGAUAGUUCUGAUGGCGAUGAUGAUAGAGAAAUUGAGAUCGGGACAUUAUUUGAUUCAGCUGAGGAGACCAAAUAAAGCAUUUAAUGUUUUGUGUUCGUGAUAAUGAUCUUACAGCCAAAAAUCAGAAGAAGCGGCUGCUAAGUGAUGUGAAAACAUGAGCAAAAACAUGAUAAACAGGAGGGAAAUGAUAGAAAAAAAGUAAAUAAGUUAUCAUGUGUUGUGCUUACUGCUUACUUCUAGUUAGAGAAGUGUUUUGCUAACUGCGUGCAAAGCUUUUCCCCACAGGAUGAGUCAUGUGCUUUCAGGUGCACAGACAAACUUGAGCCGAGGAGUUUCCUGUUUUCUGAUAAGAAGCAUGAUAACCCCUCAACUGUCUCGACCGCAACAAAAUGUGUUAUGUGCUGAUCACAUGAGUUGCAACAAGCAUGUUUGACCCCACCUUUUAGACGUUGCAACUCGUAUGUAACAAGGGAACCGCACUAAGGAAAUAAAAAGAGAGGGUUCGGCAGAGUGAACUUAGAGCGGGUUGGAGAUUGUAACUAAGUACACUCUCGUCCGUUCUCCUUGCAAGCCUGAAAACUGAA
Long non-coding RNA from Phycodurus eques (leafy seadragon), 5926 nucleotides. RefSeq lists it as uncharacterized. Lineage: Eukaryota; Metazoa; Chordata; Actinopteri; Syngnathiformes; Syngnathidae. The transcript is spliced from 2 exons. The record is from RefSeq and is a predicted model, not a curated record.